RNAcentral lists this long non-coding RNA (1817 nucleotides) under Homo sapiens (human). Its description in RNAcentral is "HSALNT0252288". Lineage: Eukaryota; Metazoa; Chordata; Mammalia; Primates; Hominidae. The record is from RNAcentral.
CCUGGAAUGGUCCAUUCAGAAUUCUCUACACAGACCUGGCCACUCCAAAAAGCCAGUGGUGAGUCCAGAGGAGGGCAGCUGAAAUGGGACAAACUAGGCUUCUAGAAGACAAUGAUGACUCUGGGAAGGGCAGGCCUGAAUGUGGAUUUUGGGACAUUCAUGAAGUCUUCAUAGUACAGAAAGGAUUAAGCUAUAACCCUAUUGUGAAGCCUUUAGGCUCAUGACUCUUGAAUCUCUUUUGAACCUCAAACCCUAGUUUGCGACCAAACAGAUCUGCAUAUCCAUCAGGUACAUCAAACCCAACACAGCACAAAGGGAACUGAUUACACCUUCCCAAAAUCUGCCUCUAAGGGUCUAAUCAGCCCCCUUGACAGCCCUCAGCCUAUAUCCUAGCAGAAAAACCGGGGUGAUCCUCAACUCCUCCCUCUUCUUUUCCUAUGGACACACCAUCACUGUCAUCUCCACCUUACAGAAGUCUCUUAGGAUGUCUCCUCUUUCUGGUCUUACAGAAGCCACUUCUGUUCACCCCACUGCAUGGCUUACCUAGACAGUGGCAAGAAGCUCCCAACCGAUCUUCCCUCAUCUUGCCCCAUUCAGCUUCCCUCUGGAGUAUUCCCAGGGUGUCUGCUAGACCCACAAAGCAGUUGCGUCCCUCUCUCUUAUCCAAAUGCCCUGAGUGGCUCCUGUUAUCCACAGGGCGAGCUGGCCCUGACCCACGCUUCCAGACUCCCCUCUCCCCACACCCACUGCUUGCCUUGAACUCCAUGUGAUUACUGGCAGCAUCAGCUGCAGCCUCGUUCCUCUACAGAUCCUGGCUCACAUGCAUCCUCAGGCUGGGAUGCCACUCUGCCUUUUGCACACCUCUCCACACUCAGCUCAAAUACCACCUCCUCUGUGAAGCCUUUCUUGACCAAGCCCCCACCUCCCCAUCAUGCCCUUUUCUUAUUCUGCCCCCUCAAGGCUCACCAGUGAACUCACUGCCACCUGUCUCUCUCCUCCUUGGGGGCACUGGCUACAUUUUCUUCAUCUUGGUUUUCCCAGGUUCUGAUAGUGCCUGGCACCUUGUAAAAGCUGUGUGCAUGUUUGCAGAAUGAAUGAGUAAACACAUGGAAAUUAAAACUAUUUAAACAGGUCCAUAAAGAUUGUGUUAUGCUCAAGGAAGAUGGAUUCAUUACACAUCUCAAAAGAACCUCAGGACCUUCUGGGACUGGAAUGGCAACACCGUGUGGGGUAAGGAGCCUAGAACGUUCAGUUAUGUUCUCAAGUCGUCACAGCUUCACCUUACCCAAGAUAUCUAACAUCUCUGAGCCUCAACUUAUUCAUCUAUAAGAAUAAGAGGACGCUACAACAUCAACCACAAAGGCUGGGGUGAGAACGACACGGGCUCAUGAUGCCAAACGUCUGGUGGAGGUCGGCACAGGGCGGGCAGAGGUGGCAAAUGGCAGUGUCCUUUGUCCCCAAUCAACAGAACUGAGCUGAACAUGAGACUCUGAGAAAGGCUCGGGACAGCAGGGCCACAGCACGUCUCCUGGCCUCCAGGGACAGUCAACUUGAGGAGGCGACAAAUCUCAUUUGCAAAGGCCCCUAGCUGCAGACCUCCCUGGCUUGGGGAGCCGCAGGCAUCUUCUGUGUUUAUCCCUCCAACCACAUCCCUGGCCAAUGGCUGCUUCUGCUUCCAUACCCUGCUCAGCAGGCUCAUCCACACUCAUCAGGAAUCCUGGAGAGACCUCUCCUAUCCCAAACCUCUCUCAGGCUAAAUGGCUACACAACCGGAAAAGGAGCCGUGGAGAAACUGACUCCUUGGGGGUGAAGGCCUC